GCCGGGAGAAAGAAAAGGGGAGGAGGAUUUCUCCCUAGAAACAACAGAAUCGACGUCUAGAGCAAACUCGGCGCCCAUGUUCCACCACCUUCAGACGAGGCGACUUCCGUGCCCUUCGGGUUGCGCGAAAUGGGAUCCAUUUCGCGAUUUCCUGCGAACACGAUCCACGGAGCAGAGCAAGGAGGAGAAGGGAGAGGAAGAGGCUGGAGGAGGAGGAUCGAGCGUAUGGAACACAAUGGCGCGGAUCGUGGCUGCCGCUUAUGCCCCUCGGUUAUGGCGAACGCAGGAUUGUUAGAAACCGUCGUCGGCCGCUAGGUGCAGCCUAGAGAAGGUUCAGCUGGAACCGGGCCAGCGGCAAUUCCGGAUGGAAAUCUCAUUCCGAGGCGGAUAUCUUCGUUGCGUCGAGAUUGUAUCGACCACGGUAGACAAGGACUAAGGUCGCGUCCGACUGUACAGAUAUCGUUUCAUACAGGGUGUCCAAGAAGGAAUAAUUCUACUUUAAUUUCACGUUUGAAAGAUCGA
Molecule: long non-coding RNA, 522 nt
Organism: Apis florea (little honeybee)
Lineage: Eukaryota; Metazoa; Arthropoda; Insecta; Hymenoptera; Apidae
Source: RefSeq, a predicted model, not a curated record